This 301-nucleotide ribosomal RNA is filed under the name Mitsuaria sp. Expt2_P15WM_F05. RNAcentral describes it as "bacterial SSU rRNA". It matches the Rfam family "Bacterial small subunit ribosomal RNA", at positions 1044 to 1351 of the family's 1533-position model. Lineage: Bacteria; Pseudomonadati; Pseudomonadota; Betaproteobacteria; Burkholderiales; Sphaerotilaceae. RNAcentral also lists the same sequence under 1 other name. The record is from RNAcentral.
CAUGGCCGUCGUCAGCUCGUGUCGUGAGAUGUUGGGUUAAGUCCCGCAACGAGCGCAACCCUUGUCAUUAGUUGCUACGAAAGGGCACUCUAAUGAGACUGCCGGUGACAAACCGGAGGAAGGUGGGGAUGACGUCAGGUCAUCAUGGCCCUUAUGGGUAGGGCUACACACGUCAUACAAUGGCCGGGACAGAGGGCUGCCAACCCGCGAGGGGGAGCUAAUCCCAGAAACCCGGUCGUAGUCCGGAUCGCAGUCUGCAACUCGACUGCGUGAAGUCGGAAUCGCUAGUAAUCGCGGAUCA